GCAAACUUGGUCAUUUAGAGGAAGUAAAAGUCGUAACAAGGUUUCCGUAGGUGAACCUGCGGAAGGAUCAUUAAAGAUUCGAGGCUUCGGCCUUCACCUCUUCAGCUGUGCGCUUCGGCUGCACGCUGUCGAACUACACACACCUGUGCACCUUAUCGGUUUCGGCCUCACGGUCGUCGCCGCUUUACACGUUUAACAACAGUUUAGAAUGUAUAAAACCAUAAAAGUAACAACUUUCAACAACGGAUCUCUUGGCUCUCGCAUCGAUGAAGAACGCAGC
This 280-nucleotide unclassified non-coding RNA is filed under the name uncultured fungus. Its description in RNAcentral is "partial contains small subunit ribosomal RNA, internal transcribed spacer 1, and 5.8S ribosomal RNA". The stretch from base 1 to 73 matches the Rfam family "Eukaryotic small subunit ribosomal RNA", at positions 1759 to 1831 of the family's 1831-position model. Lineage: Eukaryota; Fungi. The record is from RNAcentral.